RNAcentral lists this microRNA (22 nucleotides) under Schistosoma japonicum. RNAcentral's name for it is "sja-miR-3479-3p". The record is from miRBase by way of RNAcentral. Lineage: Eukaryota; Metazoa; Platyhelminthes; Trematoda; Strigeidida; Schistosomatidae.
UAUUGCACUUACCUUCGCCUUG